This 253-nucleotide ribosomal RNA is filed under the name uncultured bacterium. Its description in RNAcentral is "partial 16S ribosomal RNA". It matches the Rfam family "Bacterial small subunit ribosomal RNA", at positions 524 to 776 of the family's 1533-position model. The record is from RNAcentral.
UACGAAGGGGGCUAGCGUUGCUCGGAAUGACUGGGCGUAAAGGGCGCGUAGGCGGUUCAUACAGUCAGAUGUGAAAUUCCCGGGCUUAACCUGGGGGCUGCAUUUGAUACGGAUGGGCUAGAGUUCGGGAGAGGAGAGUGGAAUUCCCAGUGUAGAGGUGAAAUUCGUAGAUAUUGGGAAGAACACCGGUGGCGAAGGCGGCUCUCUGGACCGAGACUGACGCUGAGGCGCGAAAGCGUGGGGAGCAAACAGG